CCUGAGAAACCCGAAAGAUCGAAUGGGGAGAUUCAUCGUCAGCGAUGCUGGUAUGUGUGCGGGUCGGGAUGCCUCAGAACUUGUUCUCGUGGCACGCGUCCGCACGCUGCACUCUGUUGCCCGGUGUCGUCGGCGUGCACUUCUCCCCUAGUAGGACGUCGCGACCCGUUGGGUGUCGGUCUACGGCCCGGGUGGGCGCCUGUCUCGUGUGUGCUUCACGGCAUCACUGCGGGGCAGACCCCCGGCUGCCCGACCGUCUGCCCGGCGGUACUCGCAAGGUAUCUGGCCGCAAAAAUUCGAACUGCGUCCGGCCCGUCGCAAGCGAGGCAAGUGCUUCCCGAAUGCACGGAUCUAAUGCCGUCAUCGGGCCUUGCCAGCUGUUGGUUGACGGUGUCCUAGGACUGGCUAAACUAAUUAUGAUACCGGUCAGCGACGCUACUGCUUUGGGUACUUUCARGA
Molecule: ribosomal RNA, 459 nt
Filed under: Megarhyssa greenei
Lineage: Eukaryota; Metazoa; Arthropoda; Insecta; Hymenoptera; Ichneumonidae
Description: partial 28S ribosomal RNA
Source: RNAcentral